Molecule: long non-coding RNA, 967 nt
Organism: Tribolium castaneum (red flour beetle)
Lineage: Eukaryota; Metazoa; Arthropoda; Insecta; Coleoptera; Tenebrionidae
Exons: 2
Source: RefSeq, a predicted model, not a curated record
CUUGGAAUGUACAGUCCGGGACAUUUCUAUUUGGACAUAAAAAAUUUGAAUUUUCUGACAUUUAUACGUAUAUUCAGCGUCUAUGUGAACAAAAAAUGUUCUCUCUCUCAUUCUAUGGUCCUUUAGCUUUAAUAACAGGGACAUUUUUUAAAUUGGUAGCAUUAGAAAAUGACAGUAAACAGCUGACUGAUGUAAACAAUAACACAAUAACAAAGGAAAUGUUAUAAUUUUAAUCUAUAUAACCAGUGGCUGCUUUAAAAGUGUGUACUAACGGGAUAAUAAAAUAUUUACGCAAGUAUUUUUGAAGGUAGAAACAUUACUUGUCAUAUAACAAUUAUAGAUUAUAUGAUGAGACGGGAAUGGCACAACACAGAAUUGCAGUCAGUGAUUGUGCUGGAGAAAGCUGCUGCGACGUACUGACAGUACUGACUGUCGCUGGUUGUAUGAUUUGCGCAAUUUGUGAUAUAUUUUGUGUGAAAAACUGGAAAACAAAGUGCAUACCUGCAUAACCUCACUUAUCGCAGUUUUGCACAUUUUGAUGAUGGGAAUUGCGGUUCAAGUAAUUAUGAGUUAUAGAUGGAGCUCACUGUUUACUUCAAACUGAAGCCUUUUGGGUCCACUUUUUUCGUUGUUAUUUCCUGGUAGCGACUCUUGUUUCAAGCAGAAUGGGUGUACAGUUAAAAAUAAUCCCAUAAAAUUGUUAAUAUAACUCCGUUGCACUGGCAUGGGGUAUUUGAAAACUUACGUUUAACAAAUACGUCACAAAGUCUCAGCCAUCGUCGAAAAACAUAAUAAGGGCUUUAUAACAACAAGCGCUUUCUGAUUUUACUGUGGACGUGUGGAAGAAUAGUGUGAAAUAUUGCGAAAAACCAACUUUUACUCUUGUUUACAUUUUUGUACGUCUCUAUCUGGGAGUAGUCGUCUUUUAUAAAAAAUAUAGCCUACUAAUAAAGGAAAUUAAAGUGUU